RNAcentral lists this ribosomal RNA (455 nucleotides) under Acidovorax defluvii. RNAcentral describes it as "bacterial SSU rRNA". It matches the Rfam family "Bacterial small subunit ribosomal RNA", at positions 13 to 468 of the family's 1533-position model. The record is from RNAcentral. Lineage: Bacteria; Pseudomonadati; Pseudomonadota; Betaproteobacteria; Burkholderiales; Comamonadaceae.
UUGAUYCAUGGCUCAGAUUGAACGCUGGCGGCAUGCCUUACACAUGCAAGUCGAACGGUAACAGGUCUUCGGAUGCUGACGAGUGGCGAACGGGUGAGUAAUACAUCGGAACGUGCCCGAUCGUGGGGGAUAACGGAGCGAAAGCUUUGCUAAUACCGCAUACGAUCUACGGAUGAAAGCAGGGGACCGCAAGGCCUUGCGCGGACGGAGCGGCCGAUGGCAGAUUAGGUAGUUGGUGGGAUAAAAGCUUACCAAGCCGACGAUCUGUAGCUGGUCUGAGAGGACGACCAGCCACACUGGGACUGAGACACGGCCCAGACUCCUACGGGAGGCAGCAGUGGGGAAUUUUGGACAAUGGGCGAAAGCCUGAUCCAGCCAUGCCGCGUGCAGGAUGAAGGCCUUCGGGUUGUAAACUGCUUUUGUACGGAACGAAAAGACUCCUUCUAAUAAAGGGG